GACGAACGCUGGCGGCGUGCUUAACACAUGCAAGUCGUACGGUAAGGCCCUUUCGGGGGUACACGAGUGGCGAACGGGUGAGUAACACGUGAGUAACCUGCCCACAACUUUGGGAUAACGCUAGGAAACUGGUGCUAAUACUGGAUAUGUGCUCCUGCUGCAUGGUGGGGGUUGGAAAGCUCCGGCGGUUGUGGAUGGACUCGCGGCCUAUCAGCUUGUUGGUGGGGUAGUGGCCUACCAAGGCGGCGACGGGUAGCCGGCCUGAGAGGGUGACCGGCCACAUUGGGACUGAGAUACGGCCCAGACUCCUACGGGAGGCAGCAGUGGGGAAUAUUGCACAAUGGGCGCAAGCCUGAUGCAGCAACGCCGCGUGCGGGAUGACGGCCUUCGGGUUGUAAACCGCUUUCAGCAGGGACGAAGCUUUUUGAGACGGUACCUGCAGAAGAAGCACCGGCUAACUACGUG
Molecule: ribosomal RNA, 465 nt
Filed under: uncultured bacterium
Lineage: Bacteria
Description: partial 16S ribosomal RNA
Rfam family: Bacterial small subunit ribosomal RNA
Source: RNAcentral